Molecule: long non-coding RNA, 1020 nt
Filed under: Chinchilla lanigera (long-tailed chinchilla)
Lineage: Eukaryota; Metazoa; Chordata; Mammalia; Rodentia; Chinchillidae
Description: lncRNA (ENSCLAG00000025953.1)
Source: RNAcentral
CCUCAAUCCCAGUAUCACGCACCCAUGAUUCCACCACCUCCUAAAAGCCCCACCUAUGAGGCUUUGGGGGAACAUUGAGAUAUAAACCAGAGCAACCGCCCUAUCCUUGUGAUUGGCUUUCUCCCAAGCAGGCAGCUCUGAUGACUUGGGGAACUGAAGUGGCUGCCUUGAAAUCUUUGCCUUUUUCCCCACCCUCAUGAAGCAACCCACCAAAGAACAGAGGAGGGCUGAGAUUCCUAAUCUAAAGUUAAUCCCCAAGCUUUCUAAGUCCCAGAUCCUUUUCUCUCCCAGUGCAAGAAAAAUACAGGAAUUGCUGCUCCUGACAGCACAAGAAUGGUGAGUAGGGCAGGAAGGCUUGGUAUCUCCUCAAUGAUAGAGCAGUUUCUACAGCAUCUGUGGGUUCAGGUGCAAGGACUUAACCCCUUUCCUGCUGCCUCACACCUGUCUGUGCUAGGAGGAGCAGUAACAUGCUCAUCUGAGGAGUAUGAAAGAUGCUCCCAGAGGCCACCUCUUCUGUUCUGGAAUCACUAACGCGUUGUGUACACUGGACUUGGAAUACUCUGCAUUGACACUGACGAUGUCACAAUACGUCUUCAUUGGAUUAGUCAGGACACCCUCCCGAUCAAAGGGAAAUGGGAGCACACAGAACAUGGACCUCCACAGAUCAAUGCGUUGGCGCUUACCCAGCACAUAUGCGAACUGUGCCCUUACUUCAUCAGAGGCAACCAAGCAGCGCUCACUACGCAUAGCAAGAGACGUCGACGAGCUGCGUGCCAACAGCUGACUCUACAGAUGUCAGCAGCAGCUGCACGGUGCCCUCCUAAGACAUGUGAGGCGCAUUCUCCCUCUCCCUCUUUGCCUUUAGAAACUUUGAUGUCUGUGUGCAAAAUUAUUUUAUCUUUCACUUUAAACUCAUUUUGAAAUUAUACCCAGAUGUAUCCAGUCACUUUUACAAAAUGAGGUGCAGUUUGCUCAGAAGCCUGAAAUAAAAACAAGUGCUUGCGUCAAAUUAUUAGCCAG